CAAACCAAAGCUGGCGACCGGCGCACGGGUGAGUAACACGUAUCCAACCUGCCUCAUACCCGGGGAUAGCCUUUCGAAAGAAAGAUUAAUAUCCGAUAGCAUAUAUUUCCCGCAUGGGUUUUAUAUUAAAGAAAUUCGGUAUGAGAUGGGGAUGCGUUCCAUUAGUUUGUUGGGGGGGUAACGGCCCACCAAGACUACGAUGGAUAGGGGUUCUGAGAGGAAGGUCCCCCACAUUGGAACUGAGACACGGUCCAA
This 255-nucleotide ribosomal RNA is filed under the name uncultured bacterium. RNAcentral's name for it is "partial 16S ribosomal RNA". It matches the Rfam family "Bacterial small subunit ribosomal RNA", at positions 74 to 334 of the family's 1533-position model. The record is from RNAcentral.